Long non-coding RNA from Balaenoptera ricei (Rice's whale), 1047 nucleotides. RefSeq lists it as uncharacterized. NCBI's taxonomy places the organism in Eukaryota, Metazoa, Chordata, Mammalia, Artiodactyla, Balaenopteridae. The record is from RefSeq and is a predicted model, not a curated record. The transcript is spliced from 3 exons.
CCGGCCUGUGAGGGCGCGGGACGCCGCGCGCCCGCUUGGCCGCGCCGUCCGGGUGGGGGCGUGCACGGCCCCGGUCCCCCGGCCGGCCCGCCUGGGACUGGGGCGCGGCCCGGUGGCUCCCCGCCCGCUGCUCGCUCCUCGCGCAGCCCCUCCGUACGACCCCGGGCGUGAGGCGGCCGAGCUGAGGCGCCGGGAGAAAUGCUGUGAGCUCCCACCCCAAGUGAUGAAUUCAUCUUAGUUUUGGAACAGGCCUUCCUUAUGGUUCGUACUUAAAGACUAAGGACGUUUAAAGAGGGAAAUUGCAAAGCUCAUCUACAGCCAGAUCACAGCAUAUUUUUUUUUAGGAAUCAAGGAUCAACAUUGGGCUAUUUCCUAAGAUUAAACCAUGAAAGCCCACUUGGAGGCUGCAUGGCCAUCUGCGCACUUGAACCUGAAAAAUGGACUUUUUCAAUCGGGGAGAUCUCCUUCAGCUAAAUCAUCAGAAGUGGUGAGAAGAAAAGACCCCUGCCCGACCAACCUCCUCCAGACAAAUUAAAUCAGUCUAGCAAGGAAUGGAGCUGUACAAGGGUGGCCAGAACACCAUCUUCUGCUUGCACCAUCACUGAGCCGUCCCUCUAGGACUGCCGCCUGCAUGCCGGUUGCACUCAGUGCAAGGCAGCCGGCUGUGUCAGGGAAUGGGAGCUGAAGUCCUGCUCCACUCACCAAGCCGAGUUUAUUGGUGCAUGGCCGUGUCUGCCCAGAUGAUGUGCCUCCUUUUUCUAAUUUGCACCAAUGCCCCCUGUAUGGGCUAGUGGCAUGUCUGACCACCCCACUCCCAUAUCCCAGUGCUACCCGGGAUUCUAUUUCUUACGUGGGAUGGAUUCAAGAUUUUCAUGAACAAGUUAGGUUUCUUGCAAAAGAUGAAAUAUUUGACCCAAAUUGAAAUUAAUUUCAUAGGUAAAGCUCAAAAUAUUACCAUAGAUGUGAAUUACAUAUGUAUUUAUAUACGCGUAUAUAAACAGUCAUGUAGAUAUACAUGUCUGUGUAUCAGAAGCUAGCAAAACUUAA